Long non-coding RNA from Micropterus salmoides (largemouth bass), 678 nucleotides. RefSeq lists it as uncharacterized. The record is from RefSeq and is a predicted model, not a curated record. The transcript is spliced from 2 exons. Lineage: Eukaryota; Metazoa; Chordata; Actinopteri; Centrarchiformes; Centrarchidae.
GUUGUUUCAGAAGCUUAAUAACUGUGUUGUAGAAUAAGUGCUGCAUUAACCCUGAACUGAGUCGUGGGUUAAAGCUUAAUAUUAUGAGCAGUAACUUCACUGACGUCUCUCUUCAGGUUAGUUUGAUUAUUCAGUGAUUUAUUUGGAUUUAGUGUUUGUUGUGUUUUACUUUGAAAGAGUUUUAACCCUUUUUAGUUUGACCUCUGACCUUUUCUUUCUUUGGCAGCAGCUUCCUUCAGACGUCCUCACAGCUUGUUGGGAACUUUAUUUUCUUUAUUGCUUCUUAUCUUGCUGAAAGCUGAUUGAACGAAGUGGGCGUCCCCUCUGCUGAAAGUGAGCAAUGCAGACUGAGCGCGCUCACACAGCUUCUGUAGACUAACAGAUGUCAGGAGGCGUGGCUAAAAUCAUCAGCUGUUGGAGCCACCUGGGCCCGGUGUUCUCCACUAUAAGAGCGUGUCGGUUGUUCUGCAAUGGGGGCUAGAGAGGAGGGAAACCCUGUUCCCUAUGCUCCACGCUCCUUGUUAUUUUCUUUCUUUUGUCAUACAACAAUUCACACACUGUUCUUGCAAGCAUGCAUACCUGCUGACAUGACUGAUCUACUGAUUAUCAAACCUCAUAUGAUUUUUGGAAUGUUAAGUUGUUUUUGUCUAGUUUGAAAUAAAUGGUACCUUUUCUGCA